This 2749-nucleotide long non-coding RNA is filed under the name Mus musculus (house mouse). RNAcentral describes it as "long non-coding RNA chr16:40354333-40357082". The record is from RNAcentral. Lineage: Eukaryota; Metazoa; Chordata; Mammalia; Rodentia; Muridae.
UGUCCAACUACAAAGAUUACAGAUAUAAGUCCAACAUUGAGUUUCUGGUUCCCUAGUGUUCAAGGCAAAUUGCAGUUUAUACCUUAAUUUUGUAUAGUUUUGCUAACUGUAAGCAGUGAUAAUGUUCAAGGAUAGUCGAGACAAGAUUAAUUAUACACCCAGAAGUUUUCUAUUUUUAAUAUUCAUUUUCUUAGUUAGGUAUAUUAUCUCAACUUUAAAUAAAUAGUAAUUUUUUUCUGAAAAAAUAUCAUAUGUAGCUGAUGAAUGGGAAGGCAUUUUGGGUUGGUUGUUAGUCUCCAAUUGUCCUGAUGUAGCUAUUCUUUCUGAGGUUACUAGAAUGCACCAGUGUCCUUUUCAUGCCUCUGCCCUUGGAAAUAAUUUAAUUUACAAAGAAUCUAAGAUCAGCUUUUUAGUGAAUAAACAAAUUAAUUACUUAAUAUAAUUUUUCAAUCAUAAAUCUUAUGCCCACCACAUGUUUAGAAAAAAAAUCAAUAUUAUUUUGACUUGAGUAACACCCUCAUUUUAAAAUUUUAAAGUGCUACAACUUACACAGAGAGCCCUUUUACAGCUUCAGAACAAUGGAGAAUAGGAUCUGCUUCCUCCUAGCUGAAAAAUCACCACCUUUUCAAGCUGUCUUUUAAUCCUUUCCCCUUUCUUUCUUUCUUUCUUUCUUUCUUUCUUUCUUUCUUUCUUUCUUUCUGUCUGUCUGUCUGUCUGUCUGUCUGUCUGUCUCUCUUCCUUCACUAUUUUAUCUUAGUUUUCUGCUCAGUUCAACUAAUGUAAUAGUGACAACUAACACUAAAUGUUGCUCCAUACCAAGAACUUUUAAUAUUUUUAAGACCUUAAUAAGUUUCCAUAACAGAGAUGUGGAAAAAAAAUACCUGACUGUAGAACAGUUAGAUGGCCCUUUUUUCUUCUUCAAUUGAAAUGCAUUUCCAGAGGCAAAGAGCAACUAUACCAAUUCUCAAGCAGAUUGUGAAUUUUAAGAGACAUUAAUAUUUAUGCUCCUUUACCAAGAGAUAUUUCUAAAGGAAUGAAUUAAUUUUGUGUUAUCCCAAUAUCUACAAAAUGAUCACUUGAAUAAUAAUUUUAAAAGUUAUUUGUCCAAUUGAAUUAUUUUAGCAAAAUUUCCCUUAAGUGCCAAAAUUACUUCUACAUAGGAUUUCUGAUCUGAUCUGGGGAUUAAUUCUGACUCAUCAGUAGAUUUCCUGAAAGGUCAAGGGACCUGGGCUUUUGGUGUCAGUCACAGGCAAGUACAAUGGUAGAGAUGAAGACAAAACCUCUGAUCUGGUCAGUCAGUCUGCAGCAGGAACAAUAUUAGAGCUUCUGUAGACUGCUCAGUCUAAAGAACUCCCUGAGGAGAAUCCUCUUAACUGCUGUGUGUCUCAGCACCCUAUAGCAGCUUGAUUCGCCAAUGCACCUAUUUAUAGACUAAUUGGUAAUGAAUCAACUCUGACUACUGGUGAGAUGGAAUAAAGUAAUUUUCCUUCAUCUUCUAACUACAUACAAUAAAAUACCAAGAUAUUAUAUGACAUGACAUGGUAUGAUAUGAUAUAUAAUAUGAUAUGAUAUGAUUGAUAUGAUAUGAUAUGAUAUGAAACUAUAAUUUGACUGUCUAGGUUUCUAAAACUAAAAGAAUGAUGUGAUAGUAAACUUCGGUGAUUGAUAUUGUAGUUGAAGAAAUUAAAAACCUAAAACUUCCAAAAGAUGCAGAUAAAAAUGAAAAACAAAACAAUUCACUCCAUUAUAUGAGACCAAUGAACUAGAAAAAGACAACCUUAAUGACAAAACGCCUUUAGAUAAUAAGGGUUCCGUGAUGGCCAAUACCAUAGGAAACAAUAUGAACCAGUGCAGAUGCACCAGCAAAGGUUGAGGUGGCAAAUCUAAACUAUGCUUACCACAGUAAAUGUUUACAUGCAGAAUUUCAGAAAGACCUAUUCUUACAACUUGUUUAAAGUGUCAGUGAAGAAAGGGUGGAGCUUCAAGUUGUCUAUACCUGCAUCAGUACUAAAAUUCUCUCUCUUUUUAUUCUAAGCUGGAUUAAAGUCAGAGGAAUGCAGUUAAGAGAGAUUUGUAUAGGAGUCAUCAUUUCAAAACAAAAUACUCAAAAUGCAUGUUUCAAUCGUUUUUCAUUUUAGUUCAAUUAAAAGGGAAUCAAUACAUACCAACAUUGAGAUGACAUAGACCAUAUAUUUUCUCACAAAAGUUUUAAUGAACUCACCAUUAAAAUUUUUCAGGGAACAAUUACAACUACUCUUAAAAACAGUCUCUGCCAAGAAAACAAGGCUCUUAAGGAAGAAGUGGUCAUAAAGAUGUCAAUAAGGUAGAAAUCAAUAAAGACAAAGAGAAAUAUCAAAUAGAAUGUAUCAGCAAUUGAAAAAAAAACAUAAAACACAACAGAUAGGUUCAAUAUCAGAAGGACUAAUCAAAUGGCUCCUUUAGUACAAUAGGAAGUAUCCAUUUUGAACAAGAAAAAAAUGAACAACAACAAACAAGUUGAGUGUGGCAUCAAACCCAUGACACUAGAUAAGACCUGAGGCAGGGCAGAAAAAAAAUACUCAAAGACAUUAUGGCAAAUUUAGAAAAGUUAAUAAAGCUAAAAUAUAAAACAAAGUUGAUCUGAGCCCUACAUAGCUACAUCCAAAGAAUGUAAGUGUUGGGCAAAGUGCAGUCAACAUUUAGAAAACUGAAAACAAAGCAAAAUAUAUCGAAAGCAAGACAAAUACAAAAUUGCAACCUUUCCAUUGGU